UGGGGAAUAUUGGGCAAUGGGCGCAAGCCUGACCCAGCCAUGCCGCGUGAGUGAUGAAGGCCUUCGGGUCGUAAAGCUCUGUGGGGAGGGACGAAAAAGGGCUGGCUAACAUCCAGUCAAACUGACGGUACCUCCUUAGCAAGCACCGGCUAACUCCGUGCCAGCAGCCGCGGUAAUACGGAGGGUGCAAACGUUGCUCGGAAUCAUUGGGCGUAAAGCGCACGUAGGCGGCUCGUUAAGUCGGGUGUGAAAGCCCUGGGCUCAACCCAGGAAGUGCAUUCGAAACUGGCGAGCUUGAAUAUGGAAGAGGGUCGCGGAAUUCCCGGUGUAGAGGUGAAAUUCGUAGAUAUCGGGAGGAACACCAGUGGCGAAGGCGGCGACCUGGGCCAAUAUUGACGCUGAGGUGCGAAAGCGUGGGGAGCAAACAGGAUUAGAUACCCGCGUAGUCC
This 449-nucleotide ribosomal RNA is filed under the name uncultured bacterium. RNAcentral's name for it is "bacterial SSU rRNA". It matches the Rfam family "Bacterial small subunit ribosomal RNA", at positions 355 to 796 of the family's 1533-position model. The record is from RNAcentral.